Zalophus californianus (California sea lion) is the source of this 1099-nucleotide long non-coding RNA. RefSeq lists it as uncharacterized. Lineage: Eukaryota; Metazoa; Chordata; Mammalia; Carnivora; Otariidae. The record is from RefSeq and is a predicted model, not a curated record. The transcript is spliced from 4 exons.
UUUGAACAAAGACCCAGAUGAAGUGGGGAAGUGAACACUGCAAUGUUCUAGGAGAAGAGUGUUUCAGAAGGAACAACUGCUACAAAGUCCCCAAGAGAGGAGUCGGGAUGCAAACUGGAAAAAUACAAAUACAGAAUUGGAUACUGUAGAAAUACAGAAAACAAGUGGGUGUCACAAUUGGACCUUAGACAACUUUAGAUAUCCUCUUCUCUUCCAGCCUGGUUGGAAUAUGGUGGCAUCUUUGGUGGUGAGGUUUUGGUGAAGACAAGAGAAGUGGAAAAUGAAGGAGUACCAAGAAGUGCCAACCAUCAGAACCAUGCUCAGCUUGAUCCAGCAACGAGAAGGAAGCUAAGAGACCCCUCCCUGCCAUGAAGAUCCUCAGAUUGUCUGAAGCCUCAGAGCAUAAAGCCAGUGGGUUCUUUUGCUUGGUCCCCUCACUAUCCAGGCCGUCCAGAUAGGGCAUGCCCAACGCAGAAGCAGAGGAAAAGGAAAGAAGUGAUCUUUAUCCAAGGCUCAGAGCUUUGGACAUAAAUGUUAAGUCAAAUGUUUCAAAAGAGAAAGAGCCCUUCUGUGUCCUUGGCUUAUUGUGAAACAGCGAACUUUAAAAAUAUGAAGACCCUCUUUCUUCAUCUUAAUAUUGUGAUACUUCUAUCAUUUUUAUCACUUCCCCCAACAUGGAUAAAGAUCUAGUCAUACACUAGAUGGAAAAAGUGUUUUCUUUCUGCAAAGAGAUAUGUUUUUGUGGUUUUCUAUGUCAAGGACAACUGAGCUCAGAAGGCAUAAAUUAGUUUUAUUUAGAGUCUGAAUUUAUACAAGACAAAAGACAUUUUAUUUUCACUCAAGUUUGGUCUUAAAACCAUGUCGCUUUGUUCUGAAGGUGUAUUUUUAUUUUUGUAGAUAUUAGAUUUAUAGACCUUUCGUGAAGGAUAGAUAGUAUCGUUAAGUAUAGGUGUAUUUUAAUCAAUUAGCAAAGUGCUAAUAAUCAAUUGCAUUUAGUGAAUGAAUGUUUAAAAAAAGAAUUUCGGGCGCCUGGGUGGCUCAGUUGGUUAAGCGACUGCCUUCGGCUCAGGUCAUGAUCCUGGAGUCCCGGGAUCGAGUC